AUCAUCUUUGAACUCCUCCCCAAACUAGCUGAACUUUAGCUGACUUCUCUUAAAUCCUUAUUAAAAACAAAAACAAAAUACAACUGCCCUCUAAAUCUGUGUCUUUGUACCCUUAGAUUAGUACAGCUCCUAGACAGCAUCAGAGAAUUUUUGUUUUGUUUUGUGGAUGGUGGUUGACACAGAAACUGACAACAGAUCAAACUACCAAAAAUAAGUGACUGUGGCAUACUCAGUUACUAAUGGGACAUUUACAUCAUAGAUCCCCAAGGCUCAGUACCAUCAGGAAAGAGGGGACAGAAGGAGUGUAAAUGCCAGAGGUUGGAGUAUCUUUUGGACAUGAUAGGACCUCUGCAUCUAUUGACUCACAGAAGGGCCUUCUUGGCUCCCAGCAUCUUCCACUGUGCUGAGAGAUGUUGGGCAACUCUGAGAAAGUCUGUAAGGAGGAGAAUCUACCUUAUCAAAGAGGAAGAACCCAGCUCAACAGAAUCUCCCUAGGAGAGAGAUUCCUGAUUCAGGAGCGAGUGGUGAAGUUUUCUGCUUUCUCUUCUCUCCCUUUUGAUUCCUUUCUCUUUUCCCCAGCCUUAUCCCUUUAUCCACUACUCCCCACUCCAGCUACCCUCCCCCACCUAAUAGCUAUUGCCUUAAUGUCUUGCUCAAAUCUUUCAACCUCUUACAAGUAAUUGCCUUGUUUCCUGCAUGAGUGAUUGCAGUGGCCUCUAAUUCCCUGUGUUCAUCUCUAGAUGAAGCAUUGAGUGAUUUAUGGCAAAAUGAAAGAAGCUCUUUACAACAUGACCUUAGCCAACCUUGCUUACUUCAACUUCUACCACUGCCCACAUUCAUCCUCCACAAGAGCCAUGUCUGAUUGUCUCCAAACUCCAAACAUUUGAUGAUGUGGUGGUUUCUAUGCUUGUGUUGGGGGUUGCGGGGAGGUACAACCUAGAAUAUUUUCUCCUAUUGUAACUACAAGUUCUUGCUCAUCUUUCUUCAGGUCUUCCUACCACCUGACUGCCACCCAGGCAGGAUAGUCCCCUCUUCAUCUGUUCUAGAACACUGAGAAUUCUGACUUCUGGGAAUUUGAAGGAAAGGUUCUUCUGCACAUGGGUGCUCUGGUGGAGAGGCAUGGGUAUUCGACUAUACUCUAGGGAUACAAUGACAGACACAGUAGACAAAUUCCCUGUCCUAAUAGAUUUCAGAGUAUAGGAAGAUGCUAUUCAGGCUGCUGGAAGAGCACAAAUCAACAACCACCUUACCGAGCUGUGAACUCUGUGGACUACAGUACCAACCUGAGAGGCAAGACGUGCCCACUGGAGCAAUACUGGCAUGACUGUUAAUGUGGGUAACUAACUAUUUUUAUUUCUAUUUGAGGCUUGCUCCACAGGAAGAGAUUCGUGCCUGGCACUGUAAACCUGGUCAAAAGGACAUCAUUCAAAAGAUAAUGGGAGGGGAAAAUCUACUAGCAUUGUUUUGCUAAAUAGACACAGGGCCAAAGUGCCUUCUAAAUAAUCUAUGUUUAUACCCAAGAUUAGUGCUGUUCUCAGUCUUUACCAGGGAAGUUUGUGUAGUGGAUGAUGGGUAAUGUAGAGCCUCAAAACUGGUCAAAGAAGUGAGAAUAAGUGACCAUUGAAUGCUCUGCCCUGCAUGAGACAACUGUAUCUAUCACCUUCUUGGAACCUCAAAAGGAAUUUUGUGGAGAAGAGGCAGAAAGAAUGUGAGAGCUGGAGUAUGCAGAGGGGUUCUGUCAACACAGUCUCCUGGACAUAAUAUGAUUAUUGCACUCAUGAACUCACAGUAGCUGUGGUUACCUGCACAUCUGUCUAUGGCUGCUGGGGAAUGAAUGAGACCGGCUCCACAAAUAAAUAAAUUUUUGGGAGACUGGAGGCAUUUUUCCCCCACUGGAACAUACCAAAACAUUUUUAAGCUUCUGUAUUUUA
Peromyscus maniculatus bairdii (prairie deer mouse) is the source of this 1931-nucleotide non-coding RNA. The record is from RefSeq and is a predicted model, not a curated record. Lineage: Eukaryota; Metazoa; Chordata; Mammalia; Rodentia; Cricetidae.